UCCCCCGUGAGGGGGCAGUCUCGCCUGAUACGUGUAACAGGCAACGAGGGUUGCGUUCGUUACCCCACUGAAGGGAACGAUUCAAACCACGAACUGACGACAGCCAUGCAUCACCUGUCCUACACCCUCGAAGGCUUCCUCGGUUUCCCGAGGCGUGCAGUAGGAUUUCUAGACCUGGUAAGGUUCUUCGUUUAGCGACGAAUUGAGCCACACGCUCCACCGCUUGUGCAAGCUCCCGUCUAUUCCUUUGAGUUUUAGCCUUGCGGCCGUACUACCCAGGCGGUCCGCUUAACGCGUUUGCUUCGCCUCAGAGAGGGUCGAUACUCCCUAAAGCCAGCGGACAUCGUUUAGGGCGUGGACUA
This 362-nucleotide unclassified non-coding RNA is filed under the name uncultured bacterium. RNAcentral describes it as "contains 16S-23S intergenic spacer region". The record is from RNAcentral.